Molecule: long non-coding RNA, 516 nt
Organism: Metopolophium dirhodum (rose-grain aphid)
Lineage: Eukaryota; Metazoa; Arthropoda; Insecta; Hemiptera; Aphididae
Exons: 2
Source: RefSeq, a predicted model, not a curated record
GAUUAGUUUCAAUGUUUUUUAAAUAAACAAUCAUCGUAAUAUUAUACAAUAAUAAUCACGCCACGACGCCGCUCCACCUUAAAUCAGUCGGUGGGUUUGUAUAUAUAAAGGCGUCCGAGAUCUCGAUUCCGGCAUAACGCAAUCUUUGUGCAGAUUUAUUCUUUGGUAAGUAUGAAAUGACAGUAAUAUUGUUUUAUUUUAAAUUAAUAAUAAUUUUUUUUUUUCAUUCACAGUUUUAACUUUUAUCCUCAAAAAACCAACCAAAAACCAAAAAUGGGCGCAGAAAAAGUAUCCAUGAACAUCGUCGUCGUCGGACAAGUGCAAUCUGCCAAGGCCAUCAAAUCGGUCGCCAAAGCUACACCAGCGACCAGCCAACUGAUGAACUGUUAAAUUCAUCCAGUCCAUACAUUGCAAAACUCAAAAAUGCCAUAGCCCAAACAGUACAAUAAUAUGUAAUUCAUAUUUCAUAUCAAUAUUGAAACCGCAAAAUAAAUCAGUCGUUUCCGAUAAACUUAA